Molecule: ribosomal RNA, 24 nt
Filed under: Adenocarpus faurei
Lineage: Eukaryota; Viridiplantae; Streptophyta; Magnoliopsida; Fabales; Fabaceae
Description: partial 18S ribosomal RNA
Source: RNAcentral
AUGCUACCUGGNUGAUCCUGCCAG